Molecule: ribosomal RNA, 771 nt
Filed under: uncultured Lactobacillus sp.
Lineage: Bacteria; Bacillati; Bacillota; Bacilli; Lactobacillales; Lactobacillaceae
Description: bacterial SSU rRNA
Rfam family: Bacterial small subunit ribosomal RNA
Source: RNAcentral
UGUCUAGUCUGUAACUGACGCUGAGCUCGAAAGCAUGGGUAGCGAACAGGAUUAGAUACCCUGGUAGUCCAUGCGUAAACGAUGAGUGCUAAGUGUUGGAGGGUUCCCCUUCAGUGCUGCAGCUAACGCAUUAAGCACUCCGCCUGGGGAGUACGACCGCAAGGUUGAAACUCAAAGGAAUUGACGGGGGCCCGCACAAGCGGUGGAGCAUGUGGUUUAAUUCGAAGCUACGCGAAGAACCUUACCAGGUCUUGACAUCUUCUGCCAAUCUUAGAGAUAAGACGUUCCCUUCGGGGACAGAAUGACAGGUGGUGCAUGGUUGUCGUCAGCUCGUGUCGUGAGAUGUUGGGUUAAGUCCCGCAACGAGCGCAACCCUUAUUAUCAGUUGCCAGCAUUCAGUUGGGCACUCUGGUGAGACUGCCGGUGACAAACCGGAGGAAGGUGGGGAUGACGUCAAAUCAUCAUGCCCCUUAUGACCUGGGCUACACACGUGCUACAAUGGACGGUACAACGAGUCGCGAAGUCGUGAGGCUAAGCUAAUCUCUUAAAGCCGUUCUCAGUUCGGAUUGUAGGCUGCAACUCGCCUACAUGAAGUUGGAAUCGCUAGUAAUCGCGGAUCAGCAUGCCGCGGUGAAUACGUUCCCGGGCCUUGUACACACCGCCCGUCACACCAUGAGAGUUUGUAACACCCAAAGCCGGUGAGAUAACCUUCGGGAGUCAGCCGUCUAAGGUGGGACAGAUGAUUAGGGUGAAGUCGUAACAAGGUAACCA